UACAGAGGUCUCAAGCGUUGUUCGGAUUCAUUGGGCGUAAAGGGUGUGUAGGUGGCGCCGUAAGUCGGGUGUGAAAUUUCGGAGCUUAACUCCGAAACUGCAUUCGAUACUGCGGUGCUUGAGGACUGGAGAGGAGACUGGAAUUCGUGGUGUAGCAGUGAAAUGCGUAGAGAUCAUGAGGAAGACCAGUGGCGAAGGCGGGUCUCUGGACAGUUCCUGACACUGAGACACGAAGGCCAGGGGAGCAAACGGG
Molecule: ribosomal RNA, 253 nt
Filed under: uncultured bacterium
Lineage: Bacteria
Description: partial 16S ribosomal RNA
Rfam family: Bacterial small subunit ribosomal RNA
Source: RNAcentral